CUCUAACGACUACCACCCCCACGCAUGCUAUUAGCUUUUUAUUUCAGACGCGUGAGGUGCUGCAGAUUUCAGGCAUAUUUAGGCGAAUUGGAGCCAGCCGAACCGUAGAUGUUACACAAGUGUCUCGGCACUCGUUGGAAGCGCUUUCCCCACAUUUGCCCUUUGCUUGUGCCAGAGCCCAGGAGGUGCAUGGCCCCUGUCUGGGCAGGCCACGCAUACCCCCGCACCUGAACUGCCAACGUUAAAACGCUUUUCUCAACAAGCAACUGACGUACAGAGAUUGCAUGCAAACACACAGCAGAUCCUUAAAGAAUUUCAGCAAACUAUUAAAAAAAACCCAACCAAGCCCACUCGCCUUCCCCAGAGUUCUUGCAAGCACAAAAAGGGGCCUAUAUUCACCAAAUAAAUUAUGCGUCACAAGUUCUUCAUCCAGCUCCUCUUGGAGCGAGCGAUGGCACUUACGGAGCCGUUGCUGCAGCCCGGUGCUGCCAGUGUGGGCACUAAGCAGUUAAGAAAUGGAUGUUUCUGCCAGGAAAAUCAUUUUAGCCAUGUGUAAAUUACAGAAGAAGAAGAGAAAAUUGUACCGUUUCACUGGCUUUAUAUUUUUAGGGAAUUACCCACAGGAAAGCGCUGCAGGAACAUUUUCCCAGGAGCAGCAAGAUGAGAUGGAUUUGAGCAGUGGGAUUUGGCAAGAACCAGCAGCCUUGUGGUUAGUGCUCCAACAAGUGAGACUGACUGGUACAGGAGAGGGACAGUUAUGGUUAAUCAGAUACAAAUAUGUUUUAUCCUACAUUCUGCCCUGAGCCUGGGAGCCAAGGAGGACUGUAAGAGUGGAAAAUGUACAGGUGUUUAUUAGUGAGGUAGCCAACCUUCCAGCUACAACUAUCUCAUGACGAGUCCUCAGAAAACAACUCCAGAUUGUCCUUUUCACCAUAAUCACUGCUUUGAUGGGAAGGACAGAAAGUUAAAAAUCACAGACUCUGUUUUUCGUUCAGAAACCAUUCCUACUUCAUUUUUAGCAGGAAUGCAGGAAGAGGAGUAUGUUGUAACAUUGGUAACAUGGGAACU
Long non-coding RNA from Pipra filicauda (Wire-tailed manakin), 1068 nucleotides. RefSeq lists it as uncharacterized. The transcript has 3 exons. NCBI's taxonomy places the organism in Eukaryota, Metazoa, Chordata, Aves, Passeriformes, Pipridae. The record is from RefSeq and is a predicted model, not a curated record.